This 72-nucleotide transfer RNA is filed under the name Saurogobio dabryi (Chinese lizard gudgeon). RNAcentral's name for it is "tRNA-Val". Lineage: Eukaryota; Metazoa; Chordata; Actinopteri; Cypriniformes; Gobionidae. The record is from RNAcentral.
CAGGGUGUGGCUGAGUUAGCUAGGCACCCCACUCACGCCGAGGAGACAUCCAUGCAAAUUGGAUCACCCUGA